GUGGCAGCCUUGUAGACUGAAGUUCUCUACAUAUUCAAGAGUCCAAAAGGAAAUGAGUAGUAGCAGUGCAAGCUUCUCCACACUGCCCAUCAAUAUACCUCAAUCCUGACACAGAGGGAUCAUCUGUAAAGAUGAGAAGGUAACUCACUCUUCGUGUUCACUGUGUGCAAUAG
Molecule: unclassified non-coding RNA, 173 nt
Organism: Chrysemys picta bellii (western painted turtle)
Lineage: Eukaryota; Metazoa; Chordata; Testudines; Emydidae
Source: Ensembl